Molecule: transfer RNA, 73 nt
Filed under: Stegodyphus mimosarum
Lineage: Eukaryota; Metazoa; Arthropoda; Arachnida; Araneae; Eresidae
Rfam family: tRNA
About the family: Transfer RNA (tRNA) molecules are approximately 80 nucleotides in length. Their secondary structure includes four short double-helical elements and three loops (D, anti-codon, and T loops). Further hydrogen bonds mediate the characteristic L-shaped molecular structure. tRNAs have two regions of fundamental functional importance: the anti-codon, which is responsible for specific mRNA codon recognition, and the 3' end, to which the tRNAs corresponding amino acid is attached (by aminoacyl-tRNA synthetases). tRNAs cope with the degeneracy of the genetic code in two manners: having more than one tRNA (with a specific anti-codon) for a particular amino acid; and 'wobble' base-pairing, i.e. permitting non-standard base-pairing at the 3rd anti-codon position.
Source: Rfam by way of RNAcentral
GCCUUCGUGGUGUAGUGGUCAGUACGCUCGACGCGUAACCGAGAGGUCCGUGGUUCGAUUCCCGGCGAAGGUG